UGCAGCCAAACGCAAAGCAUGGAAACUAAACCGUGUUGGUAGCCUGCGAAAUAUAUACAGCAGCAGCAGCACCAACACUGAAGGGGGAAUUGUCAUCCGAUAAGGUACCAGUGGAGCUUGACCCCCGUGGUAUCUUCUUUCAAAGCAUUCGUUCAAGAAAGAUAAAACAAGAGAGAAAAAUAAUAGCAUUUUAGCAACAGUCCCAACACCUACAGGACCAAGUAUCUUUUUUUGUGGUAUUUUAAAGGGUAUUAAAAUGCUCGUUCACUAUU
Long non-coding RNA from Myotis lucifugus (little brown bat), 272 nucleotides. RefSeq lists it as uncharacterized. Lineage: Eukaryota; Metazoa; Chordata; Mammalia; Chiroptera; Vespertilionidae. The record is from RefSeq and is a predicted model, not a curated record. The transcript is spliced from 2 exons.